CAGCAGAGCUAUGGAGAAUGUGUCACGCCGCCACCUCAGAUUGCGUGAGCGUGACCCGUUUUUCACUCUCCCUUUCUUCCCCAGAUCCAGAGCAGUGAUGAUCGAUGGGGAGCACGACGCUGCGGUAGCGGCUUAGCGCAGGCGGGGGACGGCGGAGCAUGGGGCUCCCCUGCUGAUCUGCGCGGGCGUCACCACCCGCUGCUGGGGAUGGCCGCCGCGGUGCUCGUCUACCAUUGGGCGCUGCUGGCGGAGAUCAAGAUGGAUGCGGACACCUACGCGUCGGCAUCCGCAGGGAGAUGGUGGAAGGUGGGGUUGGUGACGGCGGCGACGAGAAGAAAAUGGACUCAGCGUCCGGCGGAUUCUCGCCAUUUUUGUCCACGCGACGUGCCUUGCUUGGAGGGCGGACCGUCAACAUCAUCUUCUUUUCUGGCGGCACAACCCAUCCUCCAUGGCUGGUCCUUCGGCGGCCAUCCAAAUCCUUCCCAUCUUCACUUAUUUUUGUUGUCCCUGCAGGUUCGCGAAUUCGCGAAAUAGCGCCGGCGAGGAGGCCCCUUUAUCCCUUUAGGCAAGCAAAGCCUUUGGGAGCAACUAGGAAAGCCUUACCCCUCUGUAAGUUCGUUAUUGCUGUGGCACAAGCUAUCACUUGAAUUUACAUGCAAAACAAGAACGACUAGGGGAUUUGAGAGUUGGCAUGGGAAUUUUUAAAAUGGUUGAUGGCUACUGUAGUGAGGAUUUUUUUUAUGCAGUGCUUAUCCAGUAGAGCAUGGCUUACCGCGUCAAAUAGGCCAAGUGCUUAUCCAAUGCUUCUUAGUUUAGGAGUGGAUUAUCUAGCUAGGGUUUGUGAUCUGAUGUGUAAGCAAGUAGAAACAAAUAUGAUCUAUCAUGAAUUUUAUCAUUUUCUUCAUUUGGCCUUACACCACAUAAAUAUUUUGUCUGACUGCAAAGAUAAAUUCAACUCUAAAAUAGCCAUUUAUGAGUACCAUGUUUGGAUUUGAUCGCUUAUUCACCAGUCACCAGCAGGUUUUUUUACAGCAACUUAAUUGGGGGAAAGUAGCUUUUUUUGAACUCCAGCAUGCUAUAUGCACAGGUGAAAAUGGUAUUACAGAAUGUGACGGUUUUUGUUUGGCAAAUGGCAACACAGCAAUACUUUGCCAUUUCUAUCUUUUUCAAUACUGAACUGAGUAUUCAUUACCUCUUGGUGUAAGCUGGUUUUUGUAAGGCAACACUAAGUUACUUUGUUUCCUGUCCUUGACAGAAAAUGUUAGUGAAUAUGAAUGGAGAAUCAUAUACCAACAAUGAUACUAAUUUGAGCUCUUGUUUGUUUCUUUUUAUGGUGGUUCCUGUAAAAUUUUGGUCCUGUGAUUUUUCUUCUCUACCUGUUCUUGUGGCUGGUUCUGGUUGCCUGGACAACAAAAUUCUUUAGUGCCAGAUCAGAAGGGGAGAUUGGUCCUCAACACAUGCUAGCUCUUUAUUUUCAGAGUAUCAGAGUGGGUUAUUUCGGAUAAGCCUCAUGCAUGAUAAGGUGCUAACCACUAAUGGUCAAGAUAACAUUGUCGAAAGGGAAAUCUGGAAAAAAUCAAGUCCAAAACGGGCAUUGCAAGGCACACGGCACAGAUUUGUGAAGUAGCUACUCAUACACAGGCAUUGCUAGCUUCUGUAUGAUUUUCCUUUUGAAUUGUUGUUCUGAUGAGGGAAAGACUAACUUGUGGUUAGCACAUUCAUUCUUUAUUCAGGCAGUGUAUGCAGGUACUUCAAUCUCUGCUGGAAUGAAAGGUUCAAGCAAAGCUAUGGCCAGCAAUGAAUAAGCCUCCCAUGUUGGGAUCCAUUCCGCCAUCAGCUGCAGAAGGCUCGGGUGCCAACCGAGGGAUCACCACGCGCGGCCGUAGCAAUCAACAUCGGCAGUCCUCAACGAAGACCACGCCGUACAGCCCUAGGCGACGCUUGGUCCAUGACACGAACCGGACGUGGCAUUGGCUCAACUCUGACAGUUUUUAGCAGGAUGGACAAUGUCGUGCGCCCUCUGACGUUGUCAAGUCAGCUGCAAAUGCAGAGUCUUACUCUGAACCCAUGCUUCGACUAUGUCCAAUAACCUAUCCAUUUCGGGCUUUCCAGAUAUAUAAGAAAAUUCAUUUGUCCGACGCAAUUUAGAAUGAAACAAUUAUUAUAGAAAUAGCAGCAUGUUCUGUUGGGUGUCACCGUUCACCAGUUUA
Molecule: RNA transcript, 2210 nt
Organism: Setaria italica (foxtail millet)
Lineage: Eukaryota; Viridiplantae; Streptophyta; Magnoliopsida; Poales; Poaceae
Exons: 4
Source: RefSeq, a predicted model, not a curated record